GAGGCGAGGGAGGAUUCCCCGGCCGGUGCCCGCCCCCGGGCUAAAGUGCGGCGCGGGUGGGGCUUGUCACGCGCCUGGCUUCCUACAGUGCGAACCUGGGAAAUCCAGGCGACUUCGCAGUUGCCGAAGGGAUCUGAAGAAGUGGGAUGUGCAAAAGCGCCGGCUGGAAAUCCCGGCUGUGUCUCCGUCAACUCUUUAGCAACAGAGGUCUCCCCCUGCCCUUGGUUUCUACCGGGCCGCCUGCUCCCACUCGGCGAAAAAAAAUACACAACAGCAGCCGCGGCGAUGGCGUGGAGGGCUGCCGCCUCCACGUGCGCGGCGCUCCUGAUUCUGCUGUGGGCGCUGACGACCGCAGGUGAUCUGAAAGUAGAGAUGAUGGCAGGGGGGACUCAGAUCACACCCCUGAAUGACAAUGUCACCAUAUUCUGCAAUAUCUUUUAUUCCCAACCCCUCAACAUCACAUCUAUGGGUAUCACCUGGUUUUGGAAGAGUCUGACGUUUGACAAAGAAGUCAAAAUCUUUGAAUUUUUUGGAGAUCACCAAGAGGCAUUCCGACGUGGAGCCAUUGUGUCUCCAUGGAGGCUGAAGAGUGGGGACGCCUCACUGCAGCUGCCUGGAAUCCAGCUGGAGGAAGCAGGAGAGUACCGAUGUGAGGUGGUGGUCACCCCUCUGAAGGCACAGGGAACAGUCCAGCUUGAAGUUGUGGCUUCCCCAGCCAGCAGAUUGUUUCUGGAUCAAGUGGGCGUGAAAGAGAAUGAAGGCAAAUAUAUGUGUGAGUCAAGUGGGUUCUACCCAGAGGCUAUUAAUAUAACAUGGGAGAAGCAGACCCAGAAGUUUCCCCAUCCCAUAGAGAUUUCUGAGGAUGUCAUCACUGGUCCCACCAUCAAGAAUAUGGAUGGGACAUUUAAUGUCACUAGCUGCUUGAAGCUGAACUCCUCUCAGGAAGACCCUGGGACUGUCUACCAGUGUGUGGUAUGGCAUGCGUCCUUGCAUACCCCCCUGAGGAGCAACUUUACCCUGACUGCUGCUCGGCACAGUCUUUCUGAAACUGAGAAGACAGAUAACUUUUCCAUUCAUUGGUGGCCUAUUUCAUUCAUUGGUGUUGGACUGGUUUUAUUAAUUGUUUUGAUUUCUUGGAAAAAGUGGAGUGCUUUCUUCUUUUGCUUAUUAAACUUUCACUUCAACUUCAUCUUUGGGGUCUGCGCUCCUUAAUUUUCUUGGUCGUGAGACAAAGAACUUCAGGUGAUACCUUGGGCAACGAGAGACUGCUACAUUGUGGUGCAUUGACAAGACUAACAUUUUGGUGCAUUGGCCAGGAAACAUUGGAAGGAUAUGUAACAAAUCAUCUUGAGCCUAUACUCCUCUCAAGUGCAUUCUGAAACACUGGAACUCCUUUGACACUCAGACUCUGAAGAAAGAGCACCUCAUAUUCUUUUGCACUCGGGCAUGGCCGUCUUACCAGCUGCAGGAUGGGGAGGCCUGGCCUCCUGAGGGAAGUGUUAAUAUUAAUACCAUUCAACAACUAGAUGUUUUCUGCAGACAGGAGGGCAAAUGGUCCGAGGUUCCUUAUGUGCAAGCCUUCUUUGCCUUGCGAGACAACCCAGAUCUUUGUCAGUGUUGUAGAAUUGACCCUGCUCUCCUAACAGUUACAUCAGGCAAGUCCAUAGAUGAUAAUUCUGCAAAGUCUGAGAAGCAAACCCCUAGGGAACACUCGGAUGCAGUUCCGGAUGCCCCAAUCCUUCUUGUCUCCCCUAUCUGGGAACCUCCUCCAGCCACAACAUCAACAACUCCAGUUCUAUCCUCCCAACCCCCAACUUUACUGUUACCCCUACAGUAAAUGCCUGAUGGAUGUGGUGCCACUAGGGUCCAAGUUCCCUUUUCAUUACAGGACCUUGGGCAAAUAAAAGGGGACCUGGGCAAGUUCUCUGAUGACCUGAUAGAUAUAUAGAGGCUUUCCAAAACCUAACUCAGGUGUUUGACCUUACUUGGGGUGAUGUUAUGUUGCUCUUAAACUCUUAACUACUACAGAAAAACAGGUAGCCCUGCAGGCAGCAGAAAAAUUCAGAGAUGAACAACCUGUCUUCUAUAGCCACUCAAUAAGGAAAGAAGGUGAGAAAGAACCAGCAUUCACAUACCCAAUAGGAAGCGAGGCAGUGCCCCUUGAACAACAUAAUUCGGACCCCAGUGGUACCUUAGAUGAGCGGCAAAGAAAACAUUUUCAAAUGUGCUUAUUAGAGGGCCUACAGAGGACCAGAGCCAAGCCUCUUUAUUACCCCAAACUCUCCACGAUAGAUCAAAAACUAGAUGAAAAUCCCUCAGCCUUUUUGGAAAGGCUGAGAGAGGCUGUAGUGAAACACACUUCCUUGUCUCCUGUGAGGUAUGUUUAUACCUCACAUAAAUAAUUCAAUUGAGGGACAGCUAAUUUUGAAAGACAAGUUUAUUACUCAGACAGCCCCUGAUAUCAGAAGGAAGCUAGAGAAACAGGCCAUGGGAUUAGAUAGCACCUUACAAAACCUCCUGAAGGUAGCCACCUCGGUCUUUUAUAAUAGGGACCAGGAGGAGGCCCAGGGGAAGGAGAGGAAACACAAGAAAAAGGCAGAGACUCUGGUGGCCACUUUGUAUAAAACCCAGUAUCCCCAAGGUGCACCUGCUAGUUGCUACCAAUGUGGCAAACUAGGGCACUUCAAAAGGGACUGCCCAGGCAGCAAGAAGAAGCCACCUCAACCCUGUCCAGUAUACAAUGGGGACCACUGGAAGGCAGACUGUCCUGGGAAGCAUAGGUCACUGAGUCCAGAGCCAGUCUCACAAAUGGUCCAGCAGGACUGAUGGGUCCUGGGGCUCAACUCCCUGGCUACAGUGGCUCAGACUGCUGUUACUACCCAGGAGCACCAGGUGAUUCUGGAGUUCGAAGGGAGGAAGGUAGACUUCUUUCUGGACACUGGAGCCAGGCUUCUGUUUUCCUCUCCAAUUCAGGCCUUCGUUCCUCCCAUAGCACAACCAUGAUGGGCAUCUCAGGGAAGACUUUAACCUGAUAUUUUUCUCAACCUAUUAGUUGCAGUCAGAGGGACCUACUGUUUACACAGGCCUUUUUAGUCAUGCCUGAAAAUCCCACUCCUUUAUUAGAUAGAGAUAUUCCAGCACGUAUGGGGGCCACCAUCCUUAUGGCUCCAGGACAAACUCCGCCUCUCCUUAGUGGAAACCAGCAUUAACCCAGAGGUUUGGGCAACUCAGGGAAGAAGUGGCCGGACUAUAACCACUAUACCAGUCUGGAUCCACCUCAAGGAUCCCACUUUUUUUCCUAACCAGAGACAAUACCCCCUGAAGCCAGAAAGUAGAAAAGGGCUAGAUGCCAGCAUUGAUAACCUAAAGGCACAAGGCCUCCUUUGGCCUUGCAGUAGCCCUUGAAACACCCCAAUAUUAGGGGUGCAAAAAUCCAAUGGGGAAGGGAGACUAGUUCAGGACCUCUGCCUUAUUCAUGAGGCUGUGAUUACGAUUCAUCCAGUAGAUCCCAGUCCCUAUACUUUGCUAACUCAAAUACCCAAGGGAACUAAAUGGUUCACAGUUCUGGGCCUAAAGGAUGCCUUUUUCUGUAUACCUUUAUACCGUGACUCCCAAUACUUGUUUACCUUUGAAGACCCCUCCAAUCAAACCACCCAGUUAACCUGGACUGUACUGCCUCAGGGAUUUAGAGAUAGCCCCCACCUAUUUGGGCAAGUAUUGUCAAGAGAUCUCUUCGAAUUCUUCCAUUCUCAGGUUAAAGUUUUACAAUAUGUAGAUGACAUUCUCCUCUGUGCCCCGACUGAGGAAGUUUCUUGAGACGGCACUGAGGCUCUCCUUAAUUUCCUAGCUGGAAAGGGAUAUAAGGCUUCAAAAUCUAAGGCUCAGCUCUAUCAGACUUUGGUAAAGUACCUAGAUCUGGUCUUGUCAGAAGGGAACAAGAGCACUAGGCGAGGAGAGGAUUAAUCCCAUUUCCUCCCUUCCUCUCCCCAGAACCCUCAAGCAGCUGAGGGAUGCUUGGGCAUUACAGGUUUUUGUAGGUUAUAGAUACCCAGGUAUGAUAAAAUAGGUUGCCCUUUAUAUCACCUUAUAAAAGAAAUUCAAGUGGCUAAAACUCACUUCCUGACCUGGGAACCUGAAGGUCAAAAGGCCAUUAAUCAGUUAAAACAAGCCUUGCUUAAAGCACCAGCCCCCAGUCUUUCUGUAGGGAAGUCCUUUAAAGUUUCUGUAUCAUAAAGGAAAGGAAUGGCCCUGGGAGUUUUAAUUCAAGUUCAAGGCCCAGCUCAACAGCCAGUAGGUUACUUAAGUAGAGAGCUUGACUUGGAGGCUAAAGGAUGGCCAGCUUGCCUCUGAGCAGUUACAGUAGUGGCCCUGCUAGUCCCAGAGGCCACCUAGUUAACCCUGGGGAAUAACCUGUUUAUGCCUCACAUAAAUAAUGUGGCAGGCUUGCUGUCCUCUAAAGCGAGUCUCUGGCUAACAGACAGCUGCCUCCUCAAGUAUCAGGCUUUGCUGCUAGAGGAAUCUGCAGUCCAGUUAAAAACCUGACCUUGCCUGAUCCCAGACACUUUCCUCCCAGAGGAAACUGGAGAAACUGAACAUAAUUGUGAACAGACUGUAGUACAACCUAUGCCGCUAGGGAGGAUCUCAAAGAAAUUCCCCUAGAAAAUCCAGACUGGACCCACUUUAUGGAUGGGAGCUCUUUUGUAGGACAGGGAGUCUGAAAAGUGGGAUAUGCAGUAGUCACCCUAAAUAACAUUGAAAAUGUGCCUCUCUCACCAGGCACACACACUCAAUCAGUUGAGCUGAUCCCUCUCACAAGAGCACUUGAACUAAGCAAAGGAAAGACAGCUAACAUUUAUACUGACUCCAAGUGUACCUUUCUAGUUCUCCUUGCCCAUGCUGCCAUCUGAAAGGAAAGGCACUUCCUCACCGCUAAUGGGUCUUGCAUUAAAUACCAUCAAGACAUCAACAGGCUAUUAUCCUCAGUGUUCCUCCCAUGAGAAUUAGUGGUCAGACAUUGCAGAGGGCAUCAGAAGCGGGUAGAUGAAAUAGCCAAAGGAAACAGGCUAGCAGACCAAAGAGCUAAGUCAGCAGUAAGAAGGCCCCAAGGUCCCAAUAAACUUGAGACCCCUCUGAUUUGGGAGGGCUACAUAAGGGAAAUAAAGCCUCAGUAUUCCCCUACAGAGAUAGAAUGGGCCACCUCUCGAGGUAUACUUUUCAACCCUCAGGAUGGUUACAAUCAGAAGAUUGCAAAGUAUGCUUGCCAGCCUCCAGCCAAUGGAAGAUUCUUAAAAUUCUCCACUGAGCCUUUCACUUAGGAAAGCAUAAGACAUCAGUGCAUCCAAAGAUUGUUCUCAGGAGAAAAUCUACUAAAAAUGGUCAAAUAGGUUGUUAAUACUCGUGAAACCCUCUUAAAAAUAAUCCCUUUAACAGAUGACUUCUUCCCCACCACACUCAAAGGAUGGGAAGUUACUCAGGGGAGGACUGGCAGAUAGACUUCACCCAUAUGCCCAAAAUAAAUGGCAUUCAAUGUCUUUUGGUGUGGGUGCAUACCUUCAUUAACUGGGUAGAGGCAUUCCCAUGCCCAACAGAAAAGGCCUCUGAGGUGGUGAGAAUACUAAUUAGUUAAAUAAUUCCUCACUUUGGGCUCCCUAAGUACUUCCAAAACAACAAUGGUCCCUCAUUUAAAGAAGCCUCUACCCAGUAGGGCAGAGUCUGCUAGGACUUUUUAUUGGGUUUGGUAAUACGUCACACCCUUUAGCCUCUACUGUAUCAGCCAUGUCCCAUUUAUACAAGACAAAUUGCUGGGUCUGUCCUGAGCGGUUUGCUCAGUUCAGUAACACUAAGGAACCUCUUGAUGACUUGGUAUUUACUGUCUUAGGAUUCCCUUUGUUAGCUUUACCUUUAGCCAUUAAAGACUUGUCAGGCAUAAAUGGAACAUGGUAUGGGAACACUUUCAACUGAGUAACUAACUCCUCCCAGGAAAGCAUUUCCUCCCUGGUGCCAGAAAAACUUUCCCCAAAGAUAAGCCUCACACCCUCAGGCUAGGAAAAGUUGGCCGGGUAAUAGCAAAUGCCUCCUCCUGUUUUAAAAGCAGAGGAAAAGGACCAUACCUGGGAGAUCUCAAGUAUUAUAACACCAUACUUGUAAUUGCUGAAAGCUCGGAAGUUUGGAGAAAAAGACAUAAGAAGGAUGAUCUAAGAAAAUUGGAAGCCAUAUGGAGGGGAGGCUUUCAGAAUUCAGCGUCUCCUCCUGGUUGGAAGGCCUGCUGGGAAUGGCAGGCUCUGGGUAACCACCCUGACACAUGGCACUAUAAUGUAAAAAACAACACAUAGGCCUUCCCAGACAUGCACCCUCAUGGGAUUCCAGACCCCCUGUAUGAUGCUUAGUAGUAGUGGCCUACAAAUCUGUGGAUGAACAGAACAGGAGACUUCUGGACUGACAGCCCCUGUCACAAGGGGGCAUUAUCUGAGAUAUUGGCCAGGACAUAUCGUGUCCCUGGUCUUUUGAAACUCCAUUUGUCGGCCAGGUGCAGUGGCUUACGCCUGUAAUCCCAGCACUUUGGGAGGCUGAGGCGGGUAGAUGAUGAGGUCAGGAGUUCAAGACUAGCCUGGACAAUAUGGUGAAACCCCGUCUGUACUAAUAAUACAAAAAAAAAAAAAGCCAGGCGUGGUGGUGCAUGCCUGUAGUCCCAGCUACUCGGGAGGCUGAGGCAGGAGAAUUGCAUGAACCCGGGAAGCAGAAGUUGCAGAAAGCCAAGAUUGUGCCACUGCACUCCAGCCUGGGUGACAGAGUAAGUCUCCAUCUCAAAAAACAAAACUCAAUUUAUCAGGUGGACCCUUCUCAUUUAGCAUGUAAAAUUCCAAAUGGCAUCGUGAGUGACUAUCCUGAGUAUAGAUAUCCCCAUCCCAAAGAUGUUCCUACUACAUGCAGGAGGGGGAAGCUUCUAAGAUAUGAGAAAGAUCAGCCUGUGUCUCUCACAAGCUACAACUUAGAACUGGCCCUUCAGGGGACAGGGCUUUAUUUCCUUUGUGGCUCCUGGCUACACUUAUUCCUCCCUAGGCACUGGAAGGGAACCUGCACUAUCGUGGCAGUGGUUCCUGACCUGUUAUCUUUAAAUUCCACUGAUACGGCAGCAUCAUCUGGGGACAUCCCUAGCCUAGCAUCUUUUCUAGUGAGUGUGCUAUCUCAGAUGCGCUGAACAAAGAGGUCUAUCAUUUCCAUGCCUUCAUAUGGAGACUUAACUGAAAGAGAAGAUUGGGUAGGACCUGCACAUGACAAUCCUAUCUCAGAAAAACCAUGGAUAGGGGAUUCUAUAGUCAGAGGCCUAUUCUGGUUUGCUGGUAUUCGUCUCCUUGAAAAAUCAGUACUUAAUAUUUCUAUUAUGAUGCCACAAGGGUAGAAGCUAACAGUAGGAGCCAUAGAAGCACAACAACAAUUCAUAAACUCUUUAGCCUCAGUAGUUAUGCAAAAUAGACAGGCCCUAGAUAUCCUUAUGGCCAAAGUAUGGGGUACCUGUGCACUUUUAAAAAGAAGCAUGUCACUUCUAGAUCAAUACCUCUAGUCAAGUAGAAGAGAAUGUACAGGUGCUUAAAGAUCAAAUUAGAACAUUGACAGAUUAAGAGAGAAUGUGGGCUCCAGUCCCAGUUGGCUACAAUCCCUCUUAAAUGGAUUCCAGUCUUCUUUGUGGAACUGGUUAGCUCCUUUAUUAGGCCCCCUUUUGCUCAUGUGUUUUGUACUAAUGUUUGGACUUUGUAUAUUCAAUACUGUAACUCAAAUUGUUUCCUCUCACUUAGAGGCUAUUAAACUCCAAACGGUGCUGCAGAUAGAACCACACAUAGACACGUCAUUCUUCUGGGGACCCUUAGACCAGUCUCAGGAGGAGCCCUAACUGCUGUAACCCCAACGACGCCCCCUUCCAGCAGGAAGCAGCCAGGAGUGGUCAUCGUCCACUUUCCCCAACAGCAGUUGGGGUCUCCACUCCUGAAGCAGGGAAUGAGAGAGGAGGAAGGAAGAAACCAGUCAGACAGGCAGUUAGGGUGGGUCCUCGGUAAAAUUCUUCCAAACAAAAGAACAGCUUGAAAAAUCAAACUGCAGGCACAGAGAAGAGAACUUGUACAGGGAAGCUUGCCUUAGACAUGUCCACAGCUGCCUAGGUAAGAAAGACUACACAGGAGACUUGCCCAGAGAUGCCCACAAUGGAAAAUUCCAUUCCCCGAGACAUGCACAGUAAGGGGAACAAAGCCAUAUGGAGUAACUCAAGCUAAGGGCCUGCGUGCACACUGGGAGGAUAGGGUAGAACUACCAGAAAUUCAUGCUUUAUGCAAAUGAGAUGCCCAGCACUCAUCAAUUUCUUACAAAAGCCUCUGUAUUCAACUGUGAAAUGGCGACACUCUUUUGGGCCCCCUCUUGGCAGUGGGGAGCUUUCUUUUUUCACUUUUUAAACUUUUGCUCCAACCUCACCUUUGGGGUCCAUGCUCCUUAAUUUUCUUGGUUAUGAGACAAAGAACUUCAGGUGAUACCUUGGGCAAUGAGAGACUGCUACAUUGUGGUGCAUUGGUGAGACUGUAAAACUAUCAGUUUAUUGCUGAUAACCCCAACAUCAGCAAUGAUGCUUAUGGAAAAAGAAAACAAAUCCUUUAUGAUCAGCUGGGUCCUUUAGUUGUUUGCAAAGAUGACUCCAAUCCUACACCCUUCCCUGCAUCCAUGUCCAUUGCUGUGUAACUUUGUAGUGCCUCCAACCGUGUGACCUCUUUCAGCCAACUUAAGAAGACAGCAGUGAAGGCGUGCCAGUUCCAAGUGUAAGCCCCAAGAGGCCUUGUGUGUCUUCAUUUGCUUCCUCGUGUGCUUCUAAUGGUGCUGGGAGAAGAACAGGUCCAGACUAGCCUGCUGGAGGAUGAGAGAUGCUGGCUACCACAUCCUUGUUGCUCCAGUGGAGGCCAGGCUAGAUUAGAUGACAGCCACCUGACUCCAUGUGAGCAAAUCUGCGAUCAGCAGAGCUGGCAGAGCCAACUCUCAAAUACUUGGAAAAUACUUUUAAUAUGUAAAACAUUUUAAAUAUUACAUUAAUAUUUAAAAUGUUUUUUAAAGCCACUGUUUUAUACUGGCUUUGUUACACAGCAUAAGCUAAGUGCUACAACUCCUCAGGAAGCUGAGCUUUGACCAAAAGAGGUGUGUUAGCCACAGAGAUGUGUCUGAGACCCCCUUCGAGAGAGAGCCUGUGUGAGGAGUGCAGUCAGCUGAUGGGCUCCAGCUACAGAUCUCAGGGAUCUGCUUCAGUAUUCCAGCUGGUGCCAUGCUCUCCCCAGACUGCUUCUGCCACUGACUGAGCAAGGCAGGAGCUCCGUGUUGGGAGCUGAUGCUGGAAUACUGAACUAUAUCCUGAGAUCUCCAGCUGCUGAUCUCGGGGAUCUGGGGUGGCCAAGACUUUCUCAGAGUGUAUAUUAGGUGCUAGAAUAACAUCAUUUUAUUUGAUGUCAUUUUGUUAUCACAUUGAUGAAAAAAAAUUCAGUUCCCAACCUGAGCCACUGUCUGUGUGGAGUUUGCAUGUUCUGCAUGGGUUUUCAUCAGGUACUCUGGUUUCCUCCCACAUCGCAAAAAUGAGCACUUUCAGUAAAUUGGGGUGUCUAGAUGGUGCCACAGUGAAUGAGGGUGUGGGUGUGAGCAUGCCCUACAGCCAGAUACCAUCCUCUCCAGGGUUGAUGCCCACUUAGUGCUCUGAGCCACUGGGAUAGGCUCUGGCCACCCACAACUCUGAACUGGAAUCAUUGGGUGAGUAAUUAUUAUUUGUUUUUAGUAAUUUUUUUUGAGACAAAGUCUCACUCUGUCACCCAGGCCAGAGUGCAGUGGCACAAUCUUGGCUUACUGCAACCUCCACCUCCUGGGCUCAAGCGAUACUCCCACCUCAGUUUCCUGAGUAGCUGGGACUACAGGCGCAUGUCACCAUGCCUGUCUAAUUUUUUUUUUUUUUUUUUUUUGUUGCAAUAAGGUCUUGCUAUGUUGUCCAGGCUGGUCUCAAACUCCUGAGCUCAAGCUAUCCUCCUGCCUUGGGCUCCCAAAGUGCUAGGAUUACAGGCAUGAGCCACCGUGCCUGGCCUAGUAUUGGUCAUUAGUAAUCAUUCCUAAAUGUAUAUGUAAACAUUUAUUUCAGUGUUAAAUAUUGAAGUGUUUGGUCUUUAUUUAGAAGUUUGAUGUUGUGUUUUAUGACCAGAAAUAUGCUGUGAACUUAAUUCUUUCUUACAGCAGUUAGCCUAUGGGAAAAUUGGUUUUGUUCUACAUUAUUUAAUUUUAAAGUCAUAAUUUCCAAGAUCCUCUCAACUCCAUUAAGUGAGGACUUACUGUACUGUAGCCUGAGGCUCAUCUUAGUCUUCCCACAUCCCCCCUGCCUUUCCUUCACAGUCAGCCUGCACUGUGGUCUGAGGCCUUCCCCCCUACAGCCUCUCCCCUUUAUCUUUCACGGUAAUCACCCCUCAUUACUCACUUGUACUUCUAACUCCAUCUUGAAAGCUGCUUCCUGGAAGAUCCAAACGGACACAAGGAGGGACUGAAGGAUUAGAAUGAGGGAAGUAACCCAUUCACUGCUUAUUUGAGAUGGGGAACUGAAGGACUUUGGCAAUUCCUACACAGAGACAGAUGGCAGAGAUGACAAGGUUUCUCAGAGAAUGCGUGAGUAACUAGAAUGGCUUUUCCUGAUGACCCAGACAGCCUGCUCAAGAGCACACUGUUGCAGCUGCCCUCCUUGGAUAGAACUAUGGAAUGAUUUUUAUUCUUCUACUUCCCAGGUGAAUGGGAAACCAAGGACACAGUCAGCAUUUAACAAAAAGGAAUCUGCAUCUCAGUCAGAACUGUAUUGCAUUUGCUUCUCUCUGGAUUACCUUGAAGUUACUCCCCUUCCCUCAAUAAUAAUGGCAUUAUGAAAAAAAUUGGAAUUGAUCAAAUGAAGUAAAGAGUAAACAGAGGAAAGACUACCCAAAGUCUAUUUUGCUUCAGUUCGGGGCUGAUGAUCUGGGGAGGAGGAGGUUGGGACAUAUUUGUGCUGCAAGGAACAAUAUCAUUUCAUGCAGGGGAGGUGCAUGACUAACAAAAGGGUUAACUGGAUCCUAUAAGCUAUAGACAGCUUCUAGGCAGUGCCAACCUGUGCUGCAUACCUGAACAUUGUUGCUUCCCCCACUGAAGGUAAUAAGCUGUGGAGCUGCACAGGCAUUUUGUAUUACUUGUUUCACUCAUUGGCCUUGGUGCCUGCCAGAAAUUGAGGUCGGGGGAAAGGCAGAAGUUCACACUCCUGGACCCAGUUUGGCCAGUCCAGGCAGCCUGCUCUUCACAUCACUCCAGAGUUAGACCUGCCCAGAGUGGAACUAGAAUAGGGUGUGAGUAGCACCUGCUUCCCCUCCCACAGAUCAGUGCCCUAGACGGGUAGCUCUGGCAGAGAGGCUGCCAAUAACCCAGAAUCCAGCACAACAAAAGGCACUUCUGGCCCAGCUCUGACUAACCCCACUGUUCUUCCUUUCCCUAGCUUCUUUCAAGCUGGAAUCAAUCUGUUGUUCUUCGGACCUGAGGUCAACAUGACUUUGAUGAACGGAAUUCAUGUCUUCUUUCUAAAGUUAUCUGGACACUUGGUACAACACAGAGUGUCUGAUAUCUGGGCCUGGGGAGACCUCAGAGGCCCUGGGGAGCCCAGAGACUUGUGGAGUGUCAGGGCAGCUCUCCUGCUGUGAAUGCAAGCUCCCUGGGAAAGUUCUCCCUAGAAAAAGAUGUGGGGGAGGAGCUCAGGUGAAAGACAGAGCCUCCUGCCCGUGGAGAGAAAGUGGGCCCUGGAGAAGCUGCGUGAGUCCUCUCCAGCAGAAGGGCCAGAGGUGCACAUUAGUGGGGCUCGGGUGGGUCUCAUGGUGACAUUGGCUGGAGAUGCCAAAUCCACAGGUGUUAGGCCUGGGCAGGUUCUAGUGUGUGAGUGGGCUAGUUUUUCUAGACUAGCACACAGGAAGAGGGUGGCCUGGCUUGCCUUCCCUCUGAAGCUCAGGACUGAGGCCCAGGACAUGUCUCACACCAUUGAUAUGAGUUGGGGACAGAUGGGCGGCAGAUGUGCCCGAUCAGGCUGCGUUGACACCUGACUGGCUGGAAGAAGAGCCUGGAAAGCAAAGAGCCCAGUCUUCCUGUAAGAAGGAAGAAGAUGGAGGGCUCAUCAUGCACGUGGGCCAGAAAAAGUGCCAGUGAGGUUGUUCUGACUCCAUAGGUGUUCUGGACAUAAUCUAGGCUGUCACAAAACAGCCAAGCCUGCUGCCAGUUUCCAAUCUGGGAUCUCAGGGAGGCCCAGGGGCUUGCUGAGUUCCACCUUCCCUCUUUCCCUUGGUUUGGAGACAACUUUCUCCCUGUGGUGAAUGUGACACUUAGAAGAACAAGGUGCAGCCCUACUAAAAGCUGGAGCUUAGGUCACUGGGACUGUGUGCUAGGGGAAAGGGGGAGGGAAGAGCAGGGCUGUGGCAUUAGACAGACUUUGGCUGAAAUCUUGGACCUGCCUCCUACUAGCUGUGAGAUCUUAGCAAAUUACUUCCUGCUAUAGGCUAAAUGUCUGUGUCCUCCUAAAAUGCACGUGUUAAAUCCUAAUGCCCAAGGUGAUGGUAUUUGGAAGUGGGGCCUUUGGGAGGUGAUGAGGGUGGAAUCCUCAUGAAUGGGAUUAGUACCCUUAUGUAACAAGGCCCCAGAGAGCUCCCUCACACCUUCCACCAUGUAAGAUUACAGGGGAAAGACAGGCCCUUCAGCAGACACUGAAUCCACUGGCACCUUGAUCUUGGACUUCCCAGCCUCCAGACUGUGAGUAAUAAAUGUCUAUUGUUUAUAAGCCA
Molecule: RNA transcript, 12836 nt
Organism: Gorilla gorilla gorilla (western lowland gorilla)
Lineage: Eukaryota; Metazoa; Chordata; Mammalia; Primates; Hominidae
Gene: NCR3LG1
Gene name: natural killer cell cytotoxicity receptor 3 ligand 1
Exons: 6
Source: RefSeq, a predicted model, not a curated record